GCACCGUUGGUGUAGGGGUAACACACAAUCUGAUCUUCGACCGAAAGAAGAACAUUGAGGUUGGGUCCUGGGUUCGAAUCCCAGACGGUGCG
Mycena epipterygia is the source of this 92-nucleotide non-coding RNA. The record is from the annotation of a GenBank genome assembly. Lineage: Eukaryota; Fungi; Basidiomycota; Agaricomycetes; Agaricales; Mycenaceae.